Molecule: ribosomal RNA, 301 nt
Filed under: uncultured bacterium
Lineage: Bacteria
Description: partial 16S ribosomal RNA
Rfam family: Bacterial small subunit ribosomal RNA
Source: RNAcentral
CAGCAGCCGCGGUAAUACGAAGGGGGCUAGCGUUGUUCGGAAUUACUGGGCGUAAAGCGCACGUAGGCGGAUAUUUAAGUCAGGGGCGAAAUCCCAGAGCUCAACUCUGGAACUGCCUUUGAUACUGGGUAUCUUGAGUAUGGAAGAGGUGAGUGGAAUUCCGAGUGUAGAGGUGAAAUUCGUAGAUAUUCGGAGGAACACCAGUGGCGAAGGCGGCUCACUGGUCCAUUACUGACGCUGAGGUGCGAAAGCGUGGGGAGCAAACAGGAUUAGAUACCCCCGUAGUCCCUGUCUCUUAUAC